AGCGAACGCUGGCGGCAGGCUUAACACAUGCAAGUCGAGCGGGCGUAGCAAUACGUCAGCGGCAGACGGGUGAGUAACGCGUGGGAACGUACCUUUUGGUUCGGAACAACACAGGGAAACUUGUGCUAAUACCGGAUAAGCCCUUACGGGGAAAGAUUUAUCGCCGAAAGAUCGGCCCGCGUCUGAUUAGCUAGUUGGUGAGGUAAUGGCUCACCAAGGCGACGAUCAGUAGCUGGUCUGAGAGGAUGAUCAGCCACAUUGGGACUGAGACACGGCCCAAACUCCUACGGGAGGCAGCAGUGGGGAAUAUUGGACAAUGGGGGCAACCCUGAUCCAGCCAUGCCGCGUGAGUGAUGAAGGCCCUAGGGUUGUAAAGCUCUUUUGUGCGGGAAGAUAAUGACGGUACCGCAAGAAUAAGCCCCGGCUAACUUCGUGCCAGCAGCCGCGGUAAUACGAAGGGGGCUAGCGUUGCUCGGAAUCACUGGGCGUAAAGGGUGCGUAGGCGGGUUUUUAAGUCAGGGGUGAAAUCCUGGAGCUCAACUCCAGAACUGCCUUUGAUACUGAAGAUCUUGAGUCCGGGAGAGGUGAGUGGAACUGCGAGUGUAGAGGUGAAAUUCGUAGAUAUUCGCAAGAACACCAGUGGCGAAGGCGGCUCACUGGCCCGGUACUGACGCUGAGGCACGAAA
This 686-nucleotide ribosomal RNA is filed under the name uncultured Bradyrhizobium sp. RNAcentral describes it as "bacterial SSU rRNA". It matches the Rfam family "Bacterial small subunit ribosomal RNA", at positions 28 to 758 of the family's 1533-position model. The record is from RNAcentral. Lineage: Bacteria; Pseudomonadati; Pseudomonadota; Alphaproteobacteria; Hyphomicrobiales; Nitrobacteraceae.